This 74-nucleotide transfer RNA is filed under the name Gemmatimonadota bacterium. RNAcentral's name for it is "Gemmatimonadetes bacterium (activated sludge metagenome) tRNA-Gly". It matches the Rfam family "tRNA". From Rfam's summary of the family: Transfer RNA (tRNA) molecules are approximately 80 nucleotides in length. Lineage: Bacteria; Pseudomonadati; Gemmatimonadota. The record is from RNAcentral.
GCGGGCGUAGCUCAGUUGGUAGAGCGUCAGCCUUCCAAGCUGAAUGUCGCGGGCUUCGAGCCCCGUCGCCCGCU